CAGAUUGACAGCAGGACAAAUCGCUGGAAGUAGGUAUGUCUCAAGCUUCUUCCACUUGGUCCACUCCAAAGCGGGGUGCAAAGGGGAAGAAGUGGAAGCAGUUGAAUGACACAUGUUGCAUUUUGUAACUGGCAACAAAGUACCAGGUAAAAAAGAUUGUGAAGCCUGCCUCCAUAAAGAACUAGUAGCUCUACAGGACAGAGAUUGGCUUGCCAUCAAGUACUACAUCCAUAACAGAAUUAUAUUAAAAAAAGGGAAAAAAAAUGUUUUCCCACAUCUUCUGUGGUAGUUUGAGUAUGUUACCAGCAAUUAAAAAAGCAAAAUAAACA
Long non-coding RNA from Nerophis ophidion (straightnose pipefish), 329 nucleotides. RefSeq lists it as uncharacterized. The transcript is spliced from 2 exons. Lineage: Eukaryota; Metazoa; Chordata; Actinopteri; Syngnathiformes; Syngnathidae. The record is from RefSeq and is a predicted model, not a curated record.